Molecule: ribosomal RNA, 253 nt
Filed under: uncultured bacterium
Lineage: Bacteria
Description: partial 16S ribosomal RNA
Rfam family: Bacterial small subunit ribosomal RNA
Source: RNAcentral
UACGAAGGGGGCAAGCGUUGUCCGGAUUUAUUGGGCGUAAAGAGCGUGUAGGCGGCUUGGUAGGUCCGCUGUGAAAACUCGAGGCUCAACCUCGAGAUGUCGGUGGAAACCACUUGGCUAGAGUCCGGAAGAGGAGAAUGGAAUUCCUGGUGUAGCGGUGAAAUGCGCAGAUAUCAGGAAGAACACCCGUGGCGAAGGCGGUUCUCUGGGACGGUACUGACGCUGAGACGCGAAAGCGUGGGGAGCGAACAGG